Molecule: unclassified non-coding RNA, 1919 nt
Filed under: Hevea brasiliensis (rubber tree)
Lineage: Eukaryota; Viridiplantae; Streptophyta; Magnoliopsida; Malpighiales; Euphorbiaceae
Source: RNAcentral
UAUACAUAAUCAUACUUUAACAAAUAUUACAUAUUUCUAAUUUCCUUUAAUUACCAGUAUAGUAUUAUCCAUUUAUAAAUUACAUGUCCAUCUACUCAUACAUCAUACAUAAAGGAAAUGUUAAGACUAUCCCUGAUGCUUUCCAUUUAAAGAACUUUUUUAGUCCUGCAACCCUGCACCUAGGGGUUAGAGGAAUGGGGUAGGCUUACAUAAGCUCAGUAAGUAAACUAACCAUCAUUAAUUAUAUUAUUCAUUCAUAUAUGCGCAAUGCAUCAUUUACAUAGGAUUUCACAUCACAAAUAUUUCACAUAAGAUGGAUAUUAUCACUAGUAACUCCUCAAAUUCUUUUAAAACAUGUUCUGUGUCAUGUACCCUGGAGUAACUUACAGAUCUUCCUUAAAGGGCAACUUAAAGAUCUCCCUGUGGGAUUUACUUAUGGAUCCAUAACAUACGUAACAUUAUAUAAUCAUAACAUGGGAGGAGUUAGUAGGUCAUCCAGCAUCUAUCAAUGCACCAACAACAAGUUAUGCAAUUAUGUAACAUCUUCAUGUUCUAGAUAUAUGCAUUCUAAAUAAAUAUGACAUGAUGCAUGAUAAUGCUCAUUAAUUACCUGUAAAUAGUUUUCAUUUUAUUAAGCUUAGAGUUAUUUACCUCUUGUACCCUAUCAACCACCUUACUCAAACGGGAGCUAUUCUUGAAUCCUUACCCUUUCGAGCCCCUCAAGCUCAAUCCUAUAAAAUCAGACCCUAGAGUGUUAUACGAGGUUCUAAAACUCUAUACAUAUCAUAAACAUCCUAUUCUAGACCCUUAGGAACCAUGAAAUUAGGUUUUGAAACUUUGGAAUCAAAAGAGAAAUAAAGUGGCAAAACCAAGUUCGGUUGCCAGAGUCUUGGGCUUCGGCUGCCGAACCUUUAAACAUUGUGCUCAAUUUUAGGCAGUAGCCACUGUUGUUGCCGAAGUCUAGGAUUUCGGGUGUCGAAUCUAGAAAAUUUCUAGAUUUUCUAAAAAACAACAAGUUUCGAUUGCCGAACCUCUGGCUUUCAGCAGCUAAACCUGAGAAUUUUUAGAAUUCCCAAGUCAAAAACCUAUAGUUUUCUUCUCCCAUCAACACUCAAACUCAUUUCAAAGUUCUAAAACAUAGCCCCAUCACAUAUAUACAUAUUUGGGGCCUAAAACAACUAGAAAUCAUACUUAAUACCCAUAUACAUUAAUCAAAACUCUAAAUCCUAGGUUUUCCCCAAUCCCAACUAGCAUAUGGAUGGAUUUCUUCAAAUCCAUCAAGGGAAAUCGGCCAUUUAAGGCCCAUAACACUUAAACAUAACUAUUCUAACCAUAGAACAUACAACUUCAAUAGAAGAUCACAAAACGCUAACCCUAACAUGGAUAAAUUUCUCCAAUAACUUAACUUAAAAUGACUUUCAUGAAAUUAUGUUAUAGAAAUCUAAUUCCUUAUCAAUUUUUUUAGAUCUACCCAUUAUAUCAAGAAAAAAAGAAAUUUACCUCUUUUCUUAGAGCUUGGAGGUGAGAGAAUCAAAACUUCAAAACUUGAAUUUGCUCUUUCACACUUUUAAAUGGAAGAAUCCUUUUCUAGAUCUUUAAAAAUUCAAAGAAAUUUCUUUAAAGAGUUUCUUGUAUGCCCCAAAGUUGAGAGAGAGAGGAAAGAAGGAAUACCCUAAGUGUUUUGGCAACAAAAUAAACUUUAAACCCUUUUUAUAUCCUCUCUGUAGAGGGAUUUUCAGCUGUCGUAAGUCCAGCUUUGGGAUGUCAGAGUCUAUUCUGUCUAAAAGAGCUUUUGAACAAAAAAAGGGGUUUCGGCUGCCGAAAGUCAAUACUUCGACAGCUGAAAGUCAAUACUUGGGCUGCCGAAACUCCUUUUGCCAAACACACUCACUUAAAAUUUUUAAAAUAUUUUUUAUUCU